This 3339-nucleotide unclassified non-coding RNA is filed under the name Mizuhopecten yessoensis (Yesso scallop). RNAcentral describes it as "carbohydrate sulfotransferase 15-like, transcript variant X1". The record is from RNAcentral. Lineage: Eukaryota; Metazoa; Mollusca; Bivalvia; Pectinida; Pectinidae.
GGAUAUACACGUACUACUGUGUUUUGGUUCAUCCUCGCUGUUCAUUGUUCAUUGUACAGCGGACCACGACUUAGCUCAGAACAGGUUCCACCAUGGUGUUACGGGGGCACGUGGCUUUGACGGUCGUAACGGUAGCAGCCCUCGUAUCGGUGAUCUUGUUGGCACAUAGCUUUGAGUAUAACGCUGUUCCAAGACCAGCCGGCUUGGAAUACAUCAAACAAAAACCAGACCGUAAAGUUAUGAAGCCCAUUUGUCCCCCGAACCAGACUUUAUCCGGUGUGGAGGAUCUGCUAUGUAUGAAAAUUCCAACGUUCAUGUCAGACUACAAGAACCCUUGUUGGCGGAGAAAAGACGGACAGCUUAGAUGCUUGCCUUAUUUCAUGCUCAUCGGUAUGGACAAGUCCGGGUCUAGUGAUUUGUUUGACCGGAUAACCAAACAUCCGGAUAUUCUAGGGAACGGUGGUGAAAUAGGAAAAGAAACAUGGUGGUGGAGCUGGUCACGUUACGGAUAUAAUUUGAUAAACAGAGUCAAGACACAGAAGUUUGAGGAUUAUUUAAACCUUUUCAAACAUUCCACCCAGACGAUCAACUCCCCCAACAAGACAGACAGCAAUGGUUUCCAUUUCGCCAUCACGGGAGACGGCACACCGAUGGACGCCUGGGAUUUCCGAGGUUGGACUCAGAUUCCGCAAAACAAGGGUCUGCAGGAACCGAAAUUUUUAACGCCAGACCUAGUCCAACACGUUAAUAAAAACAUGAAACUUAUCAUCAUAAUGAGGAAUCCGAUAGAAAGGCUUUACUCAGAUUACUUUUUCCUGAAAUUGGCCGGGCAAUCCUCAGAGGCUUUCCAUAACUCUGUGGUCGCUUCCAUUGACAUCCUGGGUAAAUGUCUGAGCAGACACCCUAUGUUGACAUGCCUAUCGGGUACAAAAGAACACCAAUGCUGGAAUAGAGCGGCUCGGAUCCACAUUGGGUUCUACUCCGAAUAUGUUCUGGAGUGGCUAAGAGUGUUUCCACGGGAUCAGAUCCUUUUCCUCCGUACAGAGGACUACUCUGCCGACCUCAGUGGUCAUCUGGCUAAAGUAUUCAGCUUCCUUGGGUCACGUCCGUUAACAGCAUCGGAAAUAACGUCAUACGGAAUAGACUUGAAAACCAAAAAGCACGUAACACAAAGCAAGAAAACAAAGGGCCCCAUGCUGGAGAAAACUAGAGCGAUACUGUCCACACUGUACGAACCUUAUAACAAAAAACUGGCCAACAUCUUGCAGGACAAUCGGUUCUUAUGGAAAGACAGUAAGGCUAGAUGAUUGCAAAGGACAAUCAAAUGAGGCCUGGUAAAGAGAAGAUGUAUGAUGUGCCUUGCGUCAUGUGGGGUUCACGCCGUACGUCUUGUGGGACUCAAGCCGUACGUCAUGUGGGUUCCACACGGCAAAAUGAUGGAAUAGACAUUCCACUAUACAACAGUUGUGGUACUUCGGGAAGUACAAGCCGUUGAAACCAUACCACAAAAAGACAUAGUGUGAUUCUAGUCCUGAACAGGAAUGGAAACAUUAUCGAACAGCGAUUGGAGUCCUCGUGCAAGGUGUGAACACAGUUCUAUUGACGUCGAUUCGUUUUAACAGUUCUGUUCACGUCAAUGUGUGUCAACAGUUCUGUUAACGUCAAUCUGUGUCAACAGUUCUGUUGACAUCAGGGUGUGUCAACAGUUCUGUUGACGUCAAGGUGUGUCACUCCAGGGCACUUGUAUAGGCAUUGAUGAAACCCGUUACCAUCGUUCAAUCCAAGGCACGCGAAAAGAUAUUUAUGAAUGACGUACAUUGUAGCUUACGUUCAGUCGAAGGCACGUGUAAAGACAAUUAUGUAUGCAUAGCCUACGCUUACUCCAAGGCACGUGUAAAUGUUUCUAUGUACGAUGUAACCAUCGUUCAGUCGAAGGCAUGUGUAAAGUAUCUAUGUACUAUGUAACCAACGUUCAGUCCAAGGCACGUGUUAAAACAAUUAUGUAUGCAUAUCCACUGAUCACUCCAAGGUACGUGUAGAAGUAUCUCUGUAGGAUGUAACCACCGUUCAGUCCGAGGCAUGUGCUGAGGCAUUUCUUUUACAAGCCGUAGCCACCAUCAGGUUCAUGUUCAUGACAUUUGUAUAGACAAUAUAUGACGUGUAUAACCGGGAACUGCGGUAAUCACCUGCCGAAAAGAUUACUAAUAUAGCUUUCAUUAUCAAAUUGAAUGAUGUUUUGUAAAACUGAAUUAUCAAAAUCUCCUGUCGUAUGGGUACUCUGUAUAAACUGUGAAAUUUAACUGAAUGAGAAAGACCACCUAAAAACCGAAAAAAAACCGCUACCAUAUCAUACCACGUUAGCACAGAAGGCUUGGGACAUGAAAAAAAUGGUUGAACAUGAUAUUACAAAGUUUUAAUACCAAGUGAGAACGGGUUUUUAUUCUAUAGGGAAAUUGCUCAAGGCAUUACAGGGGUUGCAUGCCAAGUUAGAAUGGGUUUUUAUCCAAAUGGAAAAACUGUUAAGACACUAAAGUUUUCUACCUCGUCAGCGCUCUAGCCAUAGCAAAAGCAACUCAGUGGUGAAAAAAUGGCUGUAUUUACGUGAUGGUUUUCUGUAUGAAAUGACUUCUCUGGAACGACAAGAAAAACACAUGAGAUCAUCUUAACAAAACAGUGCGAUAUCCUUACCAUGUGCAUUAUGAUAUAUAUGUUGGUCAUCAAAAAAGGGUAAAGUUCUGUUCGGUAGCGUAGAUAAUGUUUCUACAUGGAGAGAGACAUAAAAAGGAAAUAGAUACAUUGCUCAUAUAAUACACCUGCAGAAAUAAAAUAACUUUGAGAUAUGUACAUCGAUAGUUAGGAUACACGCUUAACGAAAGUGGAAGUAAAACCGUGACUACAAUACCAGGUAAUCUGUUAACAACAAAUCGGAGAGGGAGUGAGAGAUAAUAUAUAAGGUACAGGACAUUCGGAAAAUGCUGAGAUAAAGGUAACUAUUUGUUUUCAUGUAAUCCAAAGAACAUACCCAUUCCCAUAUUCCUGUGUAGACAUGCUUUUUCUGAAAAACCCCAAACAGAACAUAGUGCUUGAUAGACAUUAACAGAAACAAGGAAUCGAACGACAAACUUAUGAGAGAAGUUAUCUAUUAUGUUUUUAGUUUUUAAAUGUUGUCGCUGUGUUGUUUAUGGCUUGUACGAUAGUAACCAAUGCCAAUGUACAUGUAACAUUUGUUAUCUAGAAAUAGAUACCUAUAUAAAAGUAUACCAAUGUCAACCAGUUAGCUAUCUUACCAUGUACUGUUAUAGUUUAAUAUGUGUGUACAAUAAAACCUGUCGAUAUCAC